This 21-nucleotide unclassified non-coding RNA is filed under the name Chlamydomonas reinhardtii. RNAcentral's name for it is "small RNA Cre_1357". The record is from RNAcentral. Lineage: Eukaryota; Viridiplantae; Chlorophyta; Chlorophyceae; Chlamydomonadales; Chlamydomonadaceae.
CGGUGGCGGCAUGGUGCGCGG